UAUGGGUGGCGAGUGGCGGACGGGUGAGUAAUGCAUCGGGAUCUACCCAGACGUGGGGGAUAACGUAGGGAAACCGGGACUAAUACCGCAUACGUCCUACGGGAGAAAGCAGGGGACCUUCGGGCCUUGCGCGGCUAUGGACGAACCGAUGUGCGAUUAGCUAGUUGGUGGGGUAAUGGCCCACCAAGGCGACGAUCGCUAGCUGGUCUGAGAGGAUGAUCAGCCACACUGGGACUGAGACACGGCCCAGACUCCUACGGGAGGCAGCAGUGGGGAAUAUUGGACAAUGGGCGCAAGCCUGAUCCAGCAAUGCCGCGUGUGUGAAGAAGGCCCUCGGGUUGUAAAGCACUUUUAUCAGGAGCGAAAUACCACGGGUUAAUACCCUAUGGGGCUGACGGUAC
This 401-nucleotide ribosomal RNA is filed under the name uncultured bacterium. Its description in RNAcentral is "bacterial SSU rRNA". It matches the Rfam family "Bacterial small subunit ribosomal RNA", at positions 83 to 478 of the family's 1533-position model. The record is from RNAcentral.